AGACUGGGGCCCUCCAAGGCAGAGAGAAGACCAACUCUCCUGGCUUCCUUGACAUUCUCCUUACCUGACGUUCUGCAGCCUCUUGGGAGACUCUCGGAUGUACCCAUAGGAGGCUGUGGGAGACAGAGGGUCAUGUCCAGAAGGGAAAUGGCAGUGUAUGGCGUCACAGUAAGAGCUGGGGCAACUCCCCCGCUGUGUCUUUGAUGUCUUUGCAUCACCUUUCCAAGCCUCAGUUUUUCUCAUGUGUCAAAUGGGAGUGACAAUUUCCUGCCUCGCUUUACUCUGUGUGUGUGUGUGUGUGUGUGCGCGCGUGUGUGUGUGUGUAACUUAUGCCAAAGUGCUUUGAAAAACCGAGAAGUGGGAGGGGGGAGGGAUAGCAUUAGGAGAUAUACCUAAUGUUAAAUGACGAGUUAAUGGGUGCAGCACACCAACAUGGCACAUGUAUACAUAUGUAACUAACCUGCACGUUGUGCACAUGUACCCUAAAACUUGAAGUAUAAUUAAAAAAAAAAAAAGAAAGAAAAACCGAGAAGGCCUAAGGAUGUCUGCUGAGUUGAGACUAAGGUGUAGUGGGUGAUAUGUUUGGCUGUGUCGCCACCCAAAUCUCAUCUUGAAUUGUAGCUCCCAUAAUUCCCACGUGUUGUGGGAGGGACCUGGUGGGAGACAGUUGAAUCAUGGGAGCAGUUUCCCCCAUACGGUUCCCAUGGUAGUGAAUAAGUCUUAUAAGAUCUGAUGAUUUUAUAAGGGGUUUCCCCUUUUGCUUAGCUCUCAUUCAUUCCCUCUUGUCUGCUGCUACGUAAGACGUGCCUUUUGCCUUCUGCCAUGAUUGUGAGGCCUCCCCAGCCACUUGGAACUAGAUGGAGCCGGGCAGGACUAACCCUGCUGUGCAGAUGGAAUAAAAGGCAGGGACCUGUUCCACGAUGCUCCCAAGCUCAGAUCACAGCGAGCUAAAGGGAACCUGGGAGGUGGGUCUCCUAAGCCUCAGGCACAGGUCUCUGGAAAGGACACGCACUGGAUAGAAAAUUGGGAACAGUUUAUUUCAAACAACAAAAGCAGCCCACAGUCCUCAUGGAUGAACUUUGCAGAGGGCCUCACAGCCAGGAACUUCCUUUGACCCCUGGGUGGCCUCGACCAGACCCUUCUCAGUGGGAAUGGCCUUGGCUAUUUGUGAGUGAGCUGCCUGCCCAUUGCCCAUGGGUCAGUCCAUGGGUGGCUUGGGUCCUCUGUCCAGGGUGGCACCGACCUCAAGGCCAGUCACCUGGAGAUGGGGGCCAGGUUGUGCAGACUUGCUACCCGCUUCCUGGAGCAAACAGUUGGGGGUGAUCCCCAGAGGAGAUGUACACACAGCAUACUCCCAGCUAACGGCCUCAGCAUUCUUAUCGCUGCCCAGAUGAGGCCUAGUUAAUUACUGACCAGAGAACGGCGGCGACUGAAUCCCCGGCAUAAGCUGUUGCCUCUAAACGGUCCAGGGGGUCCUUGCAGCCUGGGGGCCAGUUUCUUUGCCCACCCUGCAAAGAGGUACAUUCACCAUUAACCACAGAAAGAAGGAUUUGCGUUCAGUUCAAGGAAGGCUUAUAAUUCUCCAGGGGUGUCCAGACCCUGGGAUGGGGCCUCCGGAGUCACAGAAUUUCUUCUUCAAAGCAGAGAAACAUGCCUGCCCAGCUCAGCAUGAUCCAGCUUCAGAGGCAGAGCGCCGAUGGAUGGGGUGUUUGGUCAGUGAACAAAGGGCAGCAUGUGUGGCUGGCUCCCUGGGCAAGUAACUUUCCCUGUCUGGCCUCGGUGUUCCCAUGUGUCAGAUGGGGAUGCUGGAGGACAUGAUUUCGAGGGUCCCUCAGUCCUUGCCUCAUCCCCCUUGUCUGGCCAUGCCCAAUUCUCCCUCUGCUCCUCAACCUACACCCUCUUUCUUAACCAGACAGGCAUCCUCCUGACCCUACUCCCCUCCUCUCCUCCACAAAGCCCUCUCUGCUUUCCUUCUCCUGUGCAAGCUCUGUCCAAGCUGCAAGAUCUGACCAAAUCACUUCUCCAGGAAGUCUGAAGCCACCUCUGGCUACACCAACGCUCAUGAAUCUCCCUCUCUCUGGGUGGUUCCACAUGCAAAGCCAAAACCUCUGAACUUCUUCCAGGUUUCUGGAAGAAUAACAGCCAAUACUAGAUAGCACUGCCUGUGUGCCAGGCACUGGAGCAAACAACGAGCACAUGUUAACACAUCUCAUCCUCAUAGCUCUGCUCUUAUUCCCAAUUUACAGAUGAAGAAAGUGAGUCCGGAGGGGUUAAGCAACUUGCCCACAGACACACAGCCAGUAUGUGGUGGCUGCAGUUGGCUUCAGAACUGUGCUACCCAGGAGGGCAGCCUCCAGCCCUGAGUGACCAUUGAGCACUAGAGAUGUGGCUGGUGUGAAUCGAGACAAGCUGUGAGUGUGUAAUGGACACCAGGUUUUGAAUGGUUGGUGUGACAAAAAGAAUGUACUAUAUCACAUUGAAAUUUUUAUAUUGAUUUCAUGGUGACAUAUUUUCCAUAUAUUGAGUUAAAUAAAAUAUAUUGUUAACACUAA
Molecule: long non-coding RNA, 2552 nt
Filed under: Homo sapiens (human)
Lineage: Eukaryota; Metazoa; Chordata; Mammalia; Primates; Hominidae
Description: HSALNT0290817
Source: RNAcentral